GAAAGAGAAGUCAGAGCGCACGGAGGAUGCCUUGGCUUCGGCAGGCGAAGAAGGACGCGGUAAGCUGCGAAAAUGUCCGGGGAUUUGCAAACGGGAGUUGAUCCGGACGUGUCCGAAUGGGGCAACCCGCACGGCUGAAGGCCGUGCACCGGCGCGAGCCGGGGCGAACCCGGGGAACUGAAACAUCUUAGUACCCGGAGGAGAAGAAAGAAACAGUCGAUUCCCUUAGUAGUGGCGAUCGAAGAGGGAGGAGCCUAAACCGCCGCGUUCGAGGACGCGGCGGGGUUGUAGGACCGGCGAUGUCCGCAUCCGCGCAAACCGGAGCAUGUCUGGAAAGCGUGGGCGCAGAGGGUGACACCCCCGUACGGGUAACGUGCGGAUGCGGAUGCCGGCACCUGAGUAGGGCGGGGCACGUGGAAUCCUGUCCGAAUCAGCGGGGACCAUCCCGCAAGGCUGAAGACUGCCGAAGACCGAUAGUGUACCAGUACCGUGAGGGAAAGGUGGGAAGCACCCCGGGAGGGGAGUGAAAUAGAGCCUGAAACCGUGCGCUUGCAAGCGGUCGGAGCACCAUUAUGGUGUGACGGCGUGCCUUUUGCAUAAUGAGCCUACGAGUUGCCUCACGCCGGCGAGGCUAAGCCAUUCAGUGGCGGAGCCGCAGCGAGAGCGAGUCUGAACAGGGCGUUCAGUCGGCGUGAGCAGACGCGAAACCUAGUGAUCUACCCUUGUCCAGGGUGAAGGGGCCGUAACAGGCUCUGGAGGCCCGAACCAGUUUCCGUUGAAAAGGGCUUGGAUGAGGCGAGGGUAGGAGUGAAAGGCCAAUCAAACUGGGAGAUAGCUCGUACUCCCCGAAAUGUCUUUAGGGACAGCCUCGUCAGUUUCCCGCGUGAGGUAGAGCUACCGAUUGGAAGCGAGGGCUUCGCCGCCUAUCAAUUCCAGACGAACUCCGAAUGCGCGCGGUGAUCUAUGACGGGAGUGAGUCGUCGGGUGCUAAUAUCCGGCGGCGAGAGGGUAAGAGCCCAGACCUCCGGCCAAGGCCCCCAAGAGCGGUCUAAGUUGAGACAGAACGAAGUGGCGCCGCAGAGACAGCCAGGAUGUUAGCUUGGAAGCAGCUAUUCAUUCAAAGAGUGCGUAACAGCUCACUGGUCGAGCGGAGCCGCGUGGAUGAUGAUCGGGCAUCAAGACCGCCGCCGAAGCCGAGGACGGCUGGCGCGAGUCAGUCGUGGUAGGGGAGCAUUCCGGUCGGCGCGGAAGGGAAGUCGCGAGGCUUCCUGGAGCGUCCGGAAAAGAAAAUGUAGGCAUGAGUAACGACAAGGGGCGUAGAAACGCCCCCGCCGAAAACCCAAGGUUUCCGGGGCCACGCUAAACGGCCCCGGGUGAGCCGGGAGCUAACGGUAAGCCGAGAGGCGAUCCGGAUGCACACGCGGUUAAUAUUCCGCGGCCGGCCCGUCGGGCGAUGUCGCGACCGAGAAGUGAAACCUCCGCGCGGAGACGGAAUUCCGCGUUGAAGGCCGUAGGGGUGACCCGAAAGCCGACAGUACGGCGAGCCUCCGGGCGAGCCGACAGCGAGGGUAAUCAUGCUCGCGAGAAAAGCGACUAGCGCUAAGAGACGGGCCGCCCGUACCGUAAACCGACACAGGUGGGUGGGGAGAGUAUCCUGAGGCGCUCGAGUGAAUCACGGCCAAGGAACUAGGCAAAUUGACCCCGUAACUUAGGGAUAAGGGGUCCCGCGGCGACGCGGGCGCAGAGAAAUGGCCCAGGCGACUGUUUACCAAAAACAUAUGGCUAUGCGAAAUCGUUAAGAUGACGAAUAUGGCCUGACACCUGCCCGGUGCCGGAAGGUUAAGAGGGGGGGUCACCGAAAGGGAAGCCCUGAAUUGAAGCCCCGGUAAACGGCGGCCGUAACUAUAACGGUCCUAAGGUAGCGAAAUUCCUUGUCGGGUAAGUUCCGACCUGCACGAAUGG
Molecule: ribosomal RNA, 1962 nt
Filed under: human gut metagenome
Description: bacterial LSU rRNA
Rfam family: Bacterial large subunit ribosomal RNA
Source: RNAcentral